GAAGAUUGGGAGUCGGUCUGUCUGUCUAACUCUAGGUUUAAAUUGAAAAAUCAAAUUGUAUUGUUUCAGUUUAAUCGGCGCUGUUUGAUUUGGUUCAAUCGUUUCAGAGCUAGGAGACCGUUCUUCAUUCUUCGAUCUGGGUUCAUGGGUAUGCGAGUCACUCUUCUUGCUUUUGAAAUUUUGCUUCUGCAACUGGGUUCAUGUGUUUUGAAAUUUUACUUCUGCUUCUGCAGUUCAACAUAGUCUAUGUUCUUUGCCUACUGUUGUUGUUUGCUUGGGAUAAAUAUGAGAUUUUGAUUAUUGGGUUCAUAUUUUUGGGUUGGGUUAUUGGUUAUUUUUAUUGAUUAUUGAAUCGUGAGAUGGAUUUGCGUUUUUGAUUGCUGAAACCUGUUAUCGUUGAAAUGGGUGUGUUGUUGAUUGCUGAAAUCAGAACCGAUGGACUGAAUUGAAUUGAUUUAUUUUGAUUCGAUAUGGUUUGGUUAUUUAUAAAAUUUAAUUCGGUUUUUUCGGUUUCGGUCGAAAUCGAACCGCACAAUCAGCCACCAACCAUUUCCCCUUCCUAUAAAUGCAAGCUGAAGAACAUUCCUCCUCUUUUAUGGUCCUGACAAAUAUAUAGAUCCCAAUAUUUUCUUUCAUCACAUAAAUCUAGAUUCUAUUUCAUAGCGCUACUGCUUAUGAUGGCAGCUGGUGCGGAUGUUGCGUUAGCACUUGCUAUUGCAGGUUUGACUGAAGCAAUUAAAGUUGCAAUAAGAAAGGGAAUUUGGUCCAGGAGAACCCUUAAAAAAUCUCCAGGCAACGGUUGAGAAUGUGGGUCCGAUCAUGCGUGAAGCCCUGCGGCGUGAAAAUCCUCCUACUGAUUUUUGCAAGAGGCUAGUCCGGGUGUUCCAGAAUGCUAAGGAGCUUGUUGAUAAGUACCCGACCAUCAAGAAGUGGAACCUGCUCGAGAAGUGGAAGCUCCUGAAGCUGAUCCAGGAAGUGGAUGAUACUAUUAAAAGGCUUAUGAAGCAUGAUUUACAGGCUGAACAAUAUCGCUGCCUUGUAGAACUUAACAAGAAAAUGGAUCUCGUAAUCGCCUCGUUUGGGUCAAAAAGUGCUGCAACUAAUGGAAAAGAAUUCAAUAAUGACAGUACAGCCUAUGUGAGUUCAUCAAAGCCUGCGGCUGAGACUGACACUGAGACUCGAGGUAGGACAUCCAGUCCUGCAUUUGCAUUGCGCUGCAAAAUGAAAAAAGCAGUUGUGGAUAUUCGCAUUUGGAAAUCUGGUAAGUAGUCUUUUUUCAAGUCUACAGGUUCAAUGGGUUUAUGCCCUGAUAUUUUUCUUUGUAGUUGGAGGGUCGCUUUUCCUGCCAACAGAAGUGUAUGCUGUUAGGAAUAUUUGUGGGGAAUGGAAAUGUAAAAUGAAAUUGUAGGAAAUCAGCUU
This 1419-nucleotide unclassified non-coding RNA is filed under the name Hevea brasiliensis (rubber tree). Lineage: Eukaryota; Viridiplantae; Streptophyta; Magnoliopsida; Malpighiales; Euphorbiaceae. The record is from RNAcentral.